GUUGAAAACCAUAAUUCUACCCAAAGAGCCGUGUCUCACCCUGCAUACAUUGUAGGAGUUGGGGGAGUUGAACUUCAGCUUCAAACCAGGCAUUUAAAACUUUUAGCAACCCUAAGGGAUUGUUUCUGCGAUCUCCCUCUGAUCUUCAGGGAAAUGGAGGCAAAACCUGCCUAAGGACCUACAGCUCCUAAGUAGUGGAGUCCCAGUAUUAGACCUGGGUUCUGUCUGUUCCGAGCCUGUGCUCCCUCUGCCAAACCAAUCCCUUGAUAAUGCUACAUACGUUGUUUUGAGUUCUGUUGUUUUUCACUUAAUGUAUCAAAAGCAUUUCACUGUGUUUCUAUAAUAUUCAUGAUAAUCUUUUUAAAUGACUACAUGAUUUUUUACCUCAUGCUGACGUACUUUAAUGUAAACCAGUCCCUGAAAAGUUGAAUGUUUAUUUCUAAUUUCUUUGAUGUUGGAAAUCGAGUGGUGAGUUCUGAAACUCCCUCUUGUCCCCUAAAAGGAGCAGCUGGCCUGGUGCAGAUGUAGCCUUUUGAGGGUCUCCAUGUUUGGGGAAUGUGUCUCCCUGUGUCAGGGAAGGCUCAUAGAAGGAGAGCUUGGAUUCUUAUCCUUGACCCUCUGGCUUCUGGUUCAAGACAUACUUCUUUGCUGGGCCCUUCAGAAACCCCUCAUCUUCCCCUCUUCCUCAGGGAGAGCCAAAAUCAUCUGCCAGGUCUCUUUUUACCCACCAGUUUGAUCGUCUUACUCCCUAGUCCCAAAUCCAUUCUCUAUGCUUAAAAUCCUUCCUGCCUUCCCUCUUCCAAGUCUUCUCUACCCACUUCUGUCCAGCUUUUAAAUCAGCUCAACAUCUAUAGCCUCCAGUCCCUCUGCCAAUGUUGAUUUCUCCUUGCCCCAAACUCCCUGAAACUCCACCCUUUUCAACUUGACACCAAAUUGCAGACUGUCAUAUGAAUUCCUGUCUCCCCAAAACCAGGUAAUGAAGGAGGCAGAAGGGCCUACCAUUUAUGCGCCCAUUAUGUACCAGGCACUGUCCAGCUCUUGUCUCAUUUAAUCCUCGUAACGACCCAUUUGAGGUGGGAUUCAUUAUCCCCUGCUUACAAGAAGAGGGGUUAAGUUGUUUGCUCAAAGUUACCCAAGCCCAGGCAAGAGGAAAUGAGUGUCAUGUAAGUGGCAGAACUCCCAAAUGGCAGGGACAAUUUCUUUAACUUCUUAUCCAUUCCCUUUUAUGAUCAGUGUGCAGGGCAAAUAGAGAGCAAUCAGUUUAGAGCACUUCUGAGAGAAAAAUGUCUGGAAAAUAUCAGGGAGUCAUUUAUCAACCUGUUUUCAUUAGC
Molecule: long non-coding RNA, 1331 nt
Filed under: Homo sapiens (human)
Lineage: Eukaryota; Metazoa; Chordata; Mammalia; Primates; Hominidae
Description: HSALNT0358559
Source: RNAcentral